RNAcentral lists this small RNA (4357 nucleotides) under Pan troglodytes (chimpanzee). RNAcentral's name for it is "retained intron". The record is from RNAcentral. Lineage: Eukaryota; Metazoa; Chordata; Mammalia; Primates; Hominidae.
AUGAACACUAAAUGUUAGGAGUUCCGUGGGAGUUUUAUGGAAGCAUGUUUGGAUCUAUCUGUCUGUAAAAUUGCUUUUACAGUGCAAGUCAAGGUCAUAACAUUUCCCAUUCUCCAUGAUGUGCUUAUUUCACAUUGCAUGCCUAUAUCAAAACAUCUAAUUUACUGUAUAAAUAUAUACACCUACUAUGUACCCAGAAAAAUUUAAAAAAAUUUUUUUUAAUUAAAAGAAAAAGAUAACAUUUCCCAUUAAAAGGUUCAUUCACUCUCCCCUAAACCCUCUCUUGCAGGCAGCAGACACGUCCCAGUCUGGAACCCUGGAAGGAGAAGAAUUCGUACAGUUCUAUAAGGCAUUGACUAAACGUGCUGAGGUGCAGGAACUGUUUGAAAGUUUUUCAGCUGAUGGGCAGAAGCUGACUCUGCUGGAAUUUUUGGAUUUCCUCCGAGAGAAGCAGAAGGAGAGAGACUGCACCUCUGAGCUUGCUCUGGAACUCAUUGACCGCUAUGAACCUUCAGACAGUGGCAAACUGCGGCAUGUGCUGAGCAUGGAUGGCUUCCUCAGCUACCUCUGCUCUAAGGAUGGAGACAUCUUCAACCCAGCCUGCCUCCCCAUCUAUCAGGAUAUGACUCAACCCCUGAACCACUACUUCAUCUGCUCUUCUCAUAACACCUACCUAGUGGGGGACCAGCUUUGUGGCCAGAGCAGCGUCGAGGGAUAUAUACGGUGCAGUGGUGGUAGAGAAGGGGUCCAACUCAUGAGAGGGACCAUGUAGAAAAGUGAGGGGAGCUGUCAGUGUCUAACAGAUUGGGACAGUGUUGUGGGGGUUUAGGGGCUGAGGAGCCCUGGAUACCAGAGACACUUGGAGGAGAUAUUGAAGACUGGUGGGAGAAUGGUAAUGAAACCCUAUGGGUAAAUGGAACUUCUCUUUCACAAGCUAUGAAACUCUCCUGGAACUCAGAGGCCCUGACAGAUUUAUAUUUAACAAAUUAAUAAACAGAUUGUUAAAUGGAAGGCAAUAGAGAAUAGGAGUUAAAAAUAUAGGUUCUGGAGUCAGCCCAUCUGAAAUUAUAUCCUAGCUCCUUCACUUGGUACUCUGGGGCUAAGUAUUUAACUUCUAUACCUCAGUCUCCCCAUCUGUGAAACAGGGAUGGUAACAGUGCCUAUUCUGUCUGGGUUGUUGUGAAGAGAUAAUCCAUAUGUCAAUAGCUAAUAAGCAGUUCUGAUUUUAUUGUGACUAAUCAUGGAUUAGAUUGAAUAGUCAAGAUAUCUUUCUAUUACCAGCAACUGAACUAGUAGCUUCAAGGGAUACAAAGAUGAGUGGAACAUAUAGUUUCCACCUUAGGAAGUCUAGCUGAGGAAUUAAGGUGUAAAUUUACUGACAGUUUGAAUAACCAGGAUGUUGUAUAGGGAUAUAAAGCCAGAACACCACUGGACACAAUGGCUUAUGCCUGUAAUUCCAGCACUUUGGGAGGCCGAGGCAGGGAGAUCGCUUGAGCCCAAGAGUUCGAGACCAGGCUGGGCAACAUAGUGAGAGCCCGUCUCUACAAAAAAUGCAAAAAUUAGCCAGGCAUGGUGAUGUGUGCUUUUAGUACCAGCUACUCGGGAGGCUGAGGUGGGAAGAUCGUUUAAGCCUGAGAGGUCAAGGCUGCAGUGAGCCAUGUUCACACCACUGCACUCUAGCCUGGGUGACAGAUUUAGACCCUGUCUCAAAAAAAUAAAAGUAAAUAUAAAUAAAUAAGUAAAACCAGAACACCAGACCCAUCAUGAGGCAAUGUGUGAUGGAUUGCUAUGGAAGGACUGUGAGUCAGGUGGGCUGAAGUAUGGGUAGAGAUCAGCGUGAGCUUGCAGCAGUGUCCCCAUGGAUGGAGAAGGCUCUAUGCAGAUGUAGCUUGAAGGGGUCCGGAUGGGUAAGUGCUGGUGAGCGCUGUUCUCUCCAGAGUGGGGAGAGUCCCUAGGUAGAAGAUCAGAUAUUGACCUCUCCUAUUUCUCGGUGGGGAUGGGGUUCUUUCAGGGCCCUGAAGCGGGGGUGCCGCUGCGUGGAGGUGGAUGUAUGGGAUGGACCUAGUGGGGAACCUGUCGUUUACCACGGACACACCCUGACCUCCCGCAUCCUGUUCAAAGAUGUCGUGGCCACAGUAGCACAGUAUGCCUUCCAGACGUCAGACUACCCAGUCAUCUUGUCCCUGGAGACCCACUGCAGCUGGGAGCAGCAGCAGACCAUGGCCCGUCAUCUGACUGAGAUCCUGGGGGAGCAGCUGCUGAGCACCACCUUGGAUGGGGUGCUGCCCACUCAGCUGCCCUCACCUGAGGAGCUUCGGAGGAAGAUCCUGGUGAAGGGGAAGAAGUUAACACUUGAGGAAGACCUGGAAUAUGAGGAAGAGGAAGCAGAGCCUGAGUUGGAGGAGUCAGAAUUGGCGCUGGAGUCCCAGUUUGAGACUGAGCCUGAGCCCCAGGAGCAGAACCUUCAGAAUAAGGACAAAAAGAAGAAAUCCAAGCCCAUCUUGUGUCCAGCCCUCUCUUCCCUGGUUAUCUACUUGAAGUCUGUCUCAUUCCGCAGCUUCACACAUUCAAAGGAGCACUACCACUUCUACGAGAUAUCAUCUUUCUCUGAAACCAAGGCCAAGCGCCUCAUCAAGGAGGCUGGUCAGGACCAAAAUGGAGGGAUGGGGAGGGAAGUGGGAUGGAUAGGUUCAGGCCUGAUGGACUGGCAGGUAAGUCCCAAGAAAAAAGACAAGGUAGCUAAGGAGAGAUGAAGGAGUUCAGAAACUCCUCAGAGCAGGCAAGGGCAGAGGAGUUAUGAAUAGUGGCUCAAGGGUCUAGGGGCACGAAAGCUGGUCUGGAUGGACAGAGUAGAGAGGCACAGUGAAACUUUCUGGAGCCAGCUUCAGAUGCUGGAGAGAAGGGUGAAGAGUAGGCAGGGUCCUUGGGACUAGGGAAGUGGGAGAUGCCACCCCACUUCCAUCUCCCUCUCUAUACCCUUUUACAGGCAAUGAGUUUGUGCAGCACAAUACUUGGCAGUUAAGCCGUGUGUAUCCCAGCGGCCUGAGGACAGACUCUUCCAACUACAACCCCCAGGAACUCUGGAAUGCAGGCUGCCAGAUGGUGGCCAUGAAUAUGCAGACUGCAGGGCUUGAAAUGGACAUCUGUGAUGGGCAUUUCCGCCAGAAUGGCGGCUGUGGCUAUGUGCUGAAGCCAGACUUCCUGCGUGAUAUCCAGAGUUCUUUCCACCCUGAGAAGCCCAUCAGCCCUUUCAAAGCCCAGACUCUCUUAAUCCAGGUGAUCAGCGGUCAGCAACUCCCCAAAGUGGACAAGACCAAAGAGGGGUCCAUUGUGGAUCCACUGGUGAAAGUGCAGAUCUUUGGUGUCCGUCUAGACACAGCACGGCAGGAGACCAACUAUGUGGAGAACAAUGGUUUUAAUCCAUACUGGGGGCAGACACUAUGUUUCCGGGUGCUGGUGCCUGAACUUGCCAUGCUGCGUUUUGUGGUAAUGGAUUAUGACUGGAAAUCCCGAAAUGACUUUAUUGGUCAGUACACCCUGCCUUGGACCUGCAUGCAACAAGGUGAGCCAGCCCCUUUGACCCCUGGCCAAUACCCCAGCUCUGGCUGCCUUCCUAAUGCUGUCCUCCUGCCCCUUCCAGGUUACCGCCACAUUCACCUGCUGUCCAAAGAUGGCAUCAGCCUCCGCCCAGCUUCCAUCUUUGUGUAUAUCUGCAUCCAGGAAGGCCUGGAGGGGGAUGAGUCCUGAGGUGGGCAUUUCACGGGAAGGGUUGGUGUGCUGGCUUUAGAUGGUGAGAAACAUCUGGAAGGAUGCUCUAGAGAACAAAUGGAGGUGGUGAAAAUCAAGCUUUGGAUUGUGCAUUCCUAGGCACAAAAUUACCUCAUUCUUCCUAACAAGCAAUCUGGGACCUGAUUUUCCACCUUUUUUCUCUUUUCUUCCCUUCCUUUGUUUUCAUAAGCCUUUGGUAUCUUUCCUGCCCCUUUCCUUUGUGUACUCUAUACUGGAGUUCCCUUCUUCCUCUUGCUGUAGGCUCAAUCCCAUACCGACAUCUACAACUAAUCUUUCCCAUCAAUUCUGUGUGAAGGCAGGUUGCAACUAGAAAUUCAGAGGGGCUUGGAACAGAGAACCUAAAGAAGCAUCAUCCCCUCCAUCCCCAACUUCCUCAAAGCCCAAAGCCAAGGGAAGGAUAAAUCAAGGCUCAAGCCUUCCCCAGCAAAGAUUAGGGAAAGAGACUUGACCCCAGGACUGUACUACGACUCUUAAGAGAACACUGCACAGCACUCAAAGUCCCCCACUGGACUGCUUCCUCCUUAGCCCCACUGGUAUAAAUAUAUCUAUCUGUCUCCAAUUUGGCUUC